RNAcentral lists this ribosomal RNA (464 nucleotides) under uncultured bacterium. RNAcentral's name for it is "partial 16S ribosomal RNA". It matches the Rfam family "Bacterial small subunit ribosomal RNA", at positions 28 to 507 of the family's 1533-position model. The record is from RNAcentral.
GACGAACGCUGGCGGCGUGCUUAACACAUGCAAGUCGAACGGAAAGGCCCUGCUUGCUGGGUACUCGAGUGGCGAACGGGUGAGUAACACGUGGGUUAUCUGCCCUUCACUUCGGGAUAAGCCUGGGAAACUGGGUCUACUACCGGAUAGGAGCCAUUUUUAGUGUGAUGGUUGGAAAGUUUUUUCGGUGUAGGAUGAGCUCGCGGCCUAUCAGCUUGUUGGUGGGGUAAUGGCCUACCAAGGCGGCGACGGGUAGCCGGCCUGAGAGGGUGGACGGCCACAUUGGGACUGAGAUACGGCCCAGACUCCUACGGGAGGCAGCAGUGGGGAAUAUUGCACAAUGGGCGCAAGCCUGAUGCAGCGACGCCGCGUGGGGGAUGACGGCCUUCGGGUUGUAAACUCCUUUCGCUAGGGACGAAGCUUUUGUGACGGUACCUAGAGAAGAAGCACCGGCUAACUACGUG